AUACGGAGGGUGCGAGCGUUAAUCGGAAUUACUGGGCGUAAAGCGUGCGUAGGCGGUUGAUUUAGUCAGAUGUGAAAGCCCCGGGCUCAACCUGGGAACUGCAUUUGAAACUGGUCAACUGGAGUAUGGUAGAGGGGGGUAGAAUUUCUGGUGUAGCGGUGAAAUGCGUAGAUAUCAGAAGGAAUACCGAUGGCGAAGGCAGCCCCCUGGACCAAUACUGACGCUGAGGUACGAAAGCGUGGGGAGCAAACAGGAUUAGAUACCCCAGUAGUCC
Molecule: ribosomal RNA, 274 nt
Filed under: uncultured bacterium
Lineage: Bacteria
Description: partial 16S ribosomal RNA
Rfam family: Bacterial small subunit ribosomal RNA
Source: RNAcentral